UACGUAGGGUCCGAGCGUUGUCCGGAAUUAUUGGGCGUAAAGAGCUCGUAGGCGGUUUGUCGCGUCUGCUGUGAAAUCCCGAGGCUCAACCUCGGGCCUGCAGUGGGUACGGGCAGACUGGAGUGCGGUAGGGGAGAAUGGAAUUCCUGGUGUAGCGGUGGAAUGCGCAGAUAUCAGGAGGAACACCGAUGGCGAAGGCAGUCCUCUGGGCCGUAACUGACGCUGAGGAGCGAAAGCGUGGGGAGCGAACAGG
RNAcentral lists this ribosomal RNA (253 nucleotides) under uncultured bacterium. Its description in RNAcentral is "partial 16S ribosomal RNA". It matches the Rfam family "Bacterial small subunit ribosomal RNA", at positions 524 to 776 of the family's 1533-position model. The record is from RNAcentral.